Molecule: long non-coding RNA, 2483 nt
Organism: Brienomyrus brachyistius
Lineage: Eukaryota; Metazoa; Chordata; Actinopteri; Osteoglossiformes; Mormyridae
Exons: 2
Source: RefSeq, a predicted model, not a curated record
UAACAUAAGCCUUGGCUACUUCUGUGAUGAGACAAUUAGAGGAGUGUAAUUGUCCUGUAAAUUUCCCAUUUUGUCUGCCUCCUACUGUCAGCAUUUAUUUAACAAAUUCUGUGGAAGGUAAAGCCCCCCCCCCCCGUCUGUUCCCCCUGAGGUGGCGUCCCGCGGACUGGGAGGUGCAGAUGGUGUAACUGCGGGGCCGUGUGACAUUUGAGUGGCUCCUUCUCCUGCUGGGCUGGGACAGGCUUGGACACGAGGACAUUUCCCCCGGACCUCCCCGCCGGCCACAUCCGGGGAAAAAGAAAAUGAGAAACAUGACGUGGAGAAGGACAGAGGGAGAGGAGGCUUGUCUCUCGGCCAGGGAAUCUCAUUAUGCGAUGCAAGCAGGAAUUUCGCCAAUCUGGGAGUUUGCGCCUUGGAAAGUAAACCGGCUUUAUCUGUUUGUCAACCCAAUGUGAUUGGGUUUUAGUAUCUGCACAAAGAUUCCAGUUCCAGGGAAACAGAAGUGAAAGAAGGAGGUAUGGUACAGUGCAACUGGUUGGUCUGCAUUCCUGUCGAACCAGCUACGAUAUGUAGCGCAGAGUGGUUAUCGGACACUGUCAGGGUCUGUCACUCUGAUUCCUGUGCCCUCUCUACAUUCUGAAUCCUGAUUGGGCUUCCUCCUGCACUACAAAAAGCCAUGUAGUUCAGGUGGCUUCCUCCACUGUGUGCAUGCCCUGCUCCCUGCGAGUGUGGGGUAGGGACCGGUCAGGCUUUCACCCUGUGUUGGACCGGUUCUGUGUGUCAAUUCUUCACUUUUCUUUAGAUUCUCGCACUUCAAAACUGAAAGGCCUGUAAAAGAGUUCAUCUUAAAGUAUGAUGUAUCCCAUUUCCAAAACAUUAACCUCUUCUGAAUGCUAGCGGGAUGUUAUAAAGACAGGCGACAUUGUGCUCUCCCUCUGCAGAUUAGCAUGCCGAGAGUCCGUUAUGCUUUUUGCAGCUUCCACACGGGACCGCCGCUGAUCCACGGCGCCUGACGUCAAUCGCGGAGACAAGCUGUCGUUUUUAUUGUUGCUCUGUGCGUCAUCGCAUUCUUUGCCGUCACGUCCGUGGUGCGCUUGCUGCAGCUGAGCUCCAGCACCCCCCGCCCCCCUGCAUGCUGCAGACCCGAUUUACGCAUCAGACCUGCCGGCAGUGCCUGCUGCUGUGGACAGGUUCAUGUCAAAUGCUUUCUGCUGCAAGGUGCAGACUUUAUGGAAAAAAAGGCAGUACUAUCAGGUUUCGAGCUCAGCUGCCCUGGUAUACUGGUCUCCUGACCUAUUGCCAGAUCGCGCUGCUAAGGUGCCCUUGCCAUUCUCAGAGUGCUGCUAUCCCCAUGAGCCUUGGCUGCCCCUCAUCUUUCCUGCUGGCCCUGGGAUUGGUGAGUCAUCCUUGCAGGCAUGGCGCGCCCCAUCGGCGCAGCGAUUGCCCUUAAUGGACAUGCCUGAUAGCAGAGGGCCUCAAGAGUGCAGUUGACCCUGGUUUGCCAUUAGCUUGCCAGCUGCUGUUAUGGCACGAGAUAAUAGGAAAGCAUCUAUUUGUGGUUCUGUUUAUUGAAAUAGGAAGUGCCUAUCACAUAAGGAGCAUCUCUGUUGUAAGAAGGUGGAUUUUUAUUUAAUUAGACAUGAGUCGCCUGUUUCCAGUCCCUGCCGUUUUUGUUUUCCGCAUUUAUCCAGUUAGGAGAUGCUUCUGUUCACAUUGGCUUGUGGGUUAGUCUUUCUUGCUCAGUGUCAGAUCACUUUAGGUAUAGGUGGUUCUCCUGUGCCUCUGUCAAUUUCUGCACAUGAGUUUGGUUAAGCUAUUGUGCAACUUAAUCUGCCCUGCAGAGGUCCGGCAUUCGCUGUUCCUUUCUUGGCCACCUUAGAGAUUUAAUGAGACAGCAGGCGAAUAAGGACAUGACAGAGGUCCCAUAGUCCCUCUGGAUGCUAUCCUCUACUGAGGGCAUAGGCUCUCCUACAGUGAGCCGGCGCAUGAUGCGGGCGGCCAUCAUGGUUCAAACACUUUAGUCUGUCUGGCAAAACCGCAUGAUUAAUGGAAGAACAUUUCGCAAUCUUUUUUAUCAGAAGGGUGUUUGUAUAAUGGUGUGUUUGCGUGGGUUUGGGCUCUGUUCUGCUGGUGGCCAAGGAGCCACAUGACUUGCCUGUUUGUCUGGGAGGCUUGUCUUCACGGAUCCUCUGGUAUUUAAAACCGAGGUCCAUUAACCCUCAACAGUAAAUUCCUUCCAUCCAUCCAUCCCUGGUUUGUGAGACCUCCCUUUAAUGCAGUUUACAGUGUAUCUAUGGGUUCAUGUGAACACAGGUGGUUUCAUGUAGGCAUAAUGGCCACAUCCUCUAGUGUGGGAAUCACUGACCUGAGCCGGAUAAGUUCUCCAUGGAAGCGCGUGGGUUAGACUCGGAAUGGACUGCGGCGGCGGAGUCGGCCCGUCCCAGAUCACUCCCGCCAGUAUCGAUCCAGCCCCCCAUCCCUUU